Molecule: long non-coding RNA, 1115 nt
Filed under: Homo sapiens (human)
Lineage: Eukaryota; Metazoa; Chordata; Mammalia; Primates; Hominidae
Description: SOX2 overlapping transcript
Rfam family: SOX2 overlapping transcript exon 2 (bases 329-397)
Source: RNAcentral
UGACUUCUCCUGCAUUGCUCUCAUAAGGACCCCGGUCAUUACCUCAGGCCAACCAGGCAAUCCAGGAUAAACUCCCCAUCUCAAGACCUUUAACCUGAUUACUUCUGCAGAACCCCAAGCCACUACUUCCUUCAUUGGACUGCAAGGUAUUUCUGUUUGGAAAAGUAAUGGAGUCCAGUCAACUUCAUUGAUCGCCAAGGACUGUCAAAAUUAUAAAACUUGCUGUGGAGCUCUGACAUGCCAGAAGCCGCUAGAAAAAGAAGUUUGACAUUCAGAAACUUAUCAAGAGGUUCUACUCUUUGGAUAGAGACCAAAAUCAUACUUUGAAAAAGCCUGACAGGUUUCUUCGGAAAAGUGGCCAUCCAUGGAAUGAAUGAAAUGUUCUCUUUCUAUUCCAGUAAGUAAUUGACUUGUAACUAAAAAUUGAACUAGCUGCUAUGUCAGCUGCAAUGUGAGCUGCUGCUGGCACAGGUGUUGCUUACUCUUUAGCCUGGAAAGAAAAGGGGUUUAAACUGUGAUUAAAUUUCAAGUCAAUUGACCUCAACAUGAUAGUACAUAAUUCUCACUUGCCUACCAAAUGGCCUGAGUUCUCAUUUUGACCCUGAUUCUGACACCUGCGUUUUUAAUGUUUGGUGUAGCUAAAGCUAUGGUUGCUCUUUUGUUUAGAAAUAAAGUGGGUAGAGAACAGUUCUAAGUAAAUAACAAAUGGUAGCCAGCCGAAUGAGUCUUUAAUACAGCGCUCAACGUGUUCGAUUUUUUUAAUGCAUUAACUCUGAGUUCAUGUAAAUUAUUAUUCAAUCUUUUCUUUUUAAACAGUAUGGAUUUAUGGGUAACAAUUUACUAACUAUGGAUACACAGUAAAUCCAAAUCAGUGAAUUACAAAUAAGGAAAGGAUGUGAGAAUUUUGAUGUUAAGUGCUUUCAAAUUAACUUUGAUUAUGUAACAUAUCAUAGGCGAAAUAUGCCUUGCACUUCAAUUAUUUUUGAGCCCUAGGAAUGAAAUAGCAGCAUUGUUUUUCUUCCUUAGUAUAAAUAGAACAAAAGUCUCCUUAACUUAAGCAAGAUGACCGUAUUUGAGUUUGGGAGACAAACCUUUAUCUUUUCCCAAAAGCAAAA